Dermacentor albipictus is the source of this 308-nucleotide non-coding RNA. The record is from RefSeq and is a predicted model, not a curated record. Lineage: Eukaryota; Metazoa; Arthropoda; Arachnida; Ixodida; Ixodidae.
GGGGGCGAGUGCCGUCGCCUCAGAUGCAGGCUGGGAGGUCUUGGGUCCCAGGAGCCUCUUCAGCCAGUUGGACGAGCCGGAGCUGGAGCUCAGAGUUCGAGCUGCGCAGCAGGGUCUCCCAGGGGCGUCGAUGUGGCAGCGAUGUGGAAGAAGACGACGAACGGUUUGCUGGAGGCGUUGGAGCCCGGGCAGCGAAGGAGAGGAGGAAGAGGAGCGACGAAGAGAUUCGGGAGCCCCGGCUGUGUCGCGCUUGCGCAAGAAGCACCGUUGUAUGUGCACGAAGCAAGGGAAAGCCGUAGAGUGAUAAG